This 837-nucleotide ribosomal RNA is filed under the name uncultured Phalacroma. Its description in RNAcentral is "bacterial SSU rRNA". It matches the Rfam family "Bacterial small subunit ribosomal RNA", at positions 481 to 1323 of the family's 1533-position model. Lineage: Eukaryota; Dinophyceae; Dinophysales; Dinophysaceae. The record is from RNAcentral.
GAGGAAUAAGCAUCGGCUAACUCCGUGCCAGCAGCCGCGGUAAUACGGGGGAUGCAAGCGUUAUCCGUGAAUCAUUGCGUCGUAAAGCGCCUGUAGGUUGUUUAAUAAGUCUGUUGUUAAAGACUAGGGCUUAACCCUAGGAAAGCGAUGUAAACUACUAGACUUGAGUAUGAUAGGAGUAGAGGGAAUUUCUAGUGUAGCGCUGAAAUGCGUAGAUAUUAGGAAGAACACCGGUGGCGAAGCCGCUCUACUGGAUCAUUACUGACACUCAGAGGCGAAAGCUAGGGUAGCAAAAGGUAUUAGAUACCCCUGUAGUCCUAGCCGUAAACGAUGAAUACUAGAUGUCGUGUUUAUUAUGCAGUAUCGCAGCUAACGCGUUACGUAUCCCGCCUGGGGAGUACGCUCGCUAGGGUGAAACUCAUAGGAAUUGACGGGGGCACGCACAAGCGUAGGAGCAUGUGGUUUAAUUCGAUGCAACGCGAAGAACCUUACUAGGACUUGACAUACUACAAAUUCUUUUGAGACACAGAAGUGCCUCCGCGAAUGUAGAUACAGGUGGAGCAUGACUGUAGUCAGCUCCGUGUAGCGAGAUGAUGCGUUAGGUCCCGCGACGAGCGCGACCCUCAUGUUUAGAUACCAAUUCGUUGAGUACUCUAGUAAGACUGCAGCUAACGAAGCGUAGCACGGUGAGAAUCACGUCUAGUCAGCAUGCCCCUGAUGUCCUGCGCUACACACGUGCUACAAUGCUUAAGACAAUGAGUCGCGAGCUCAUGAUAGUCAGCUAAUCUCAUAUACUGAGCGCACGUGCAGAUUGCAGGCUGCAACUAGUCUGCAUGA